This is a long non-coding RNA of Ceratitis capitata (Mediterranean fruit fly), 889 nucleotides long. RefSeq lists it as uncharacterized. The record is from RefSeq and is a predicted model, not a curated record. The transcript is spliced from 2 exons. Lineage: Eukaryota; Metazoa; Arthropoda; Insecta; Diptera; Tephritidae.
CAUAAUAUUUUUGUAAUAUUUAACUACAAAUACUUUGCAUACUAUUAUACAAGACGGUUAUCCUGCCAGCCAAGACUACCCCCACCAGACAACUUUUGUUGGAUUUAUUAUCCAGGCAACAAAUUGGCAACAAAAAACAAAUUUUGUCGCUUUAACACUACGGCAAUAAACCCGGCGAGUUGCCUAUUUGUUGCCAUUGAUGAUCGUUGCCUAUCUCUCAUGUUUUUAUGAAGGCAUCAAAAAAAUUCUAUUUGUUUUUUGUUUUUUUUUUUUCUUUCUUUUUGACGAGACUUCUUUUCUAACAUUUCGUCAAUUCGAAAAAAUUAUUUUAAUUGUUGACGCAAAAUGUUUGUUAAAAAAACUAUCAUAGUUUGACAGGGUUUGAAAAAUACGUAUUUAUUUCAUAAUUAAAAUUAUUUUUCUACACUAACUUCUACCUUAAAGCAAUAUUCUAUAAUUUUACAGAUUUGAAUAAAACGAUUUUAAAGCAGAAACAGCACAAAGGUAGGAUAUGUGCACAUUGCUUGCUCUGAGCCGGCUGAUGGAAAAUUAGAAAAGGAUAGCUAUACGUUUUCUUAUGAAGUAAUCCUAAUGUGUGCAACAAAGAUGAAUGAUCACGCAUACAUGGAGAAAGUGGGUGAAAUCUUGGACGCUCUUUAUUGCCUAUCCUGUUACCCAAUUUUUUAAGUCCGAGUUUACUCGGGGAUACUUUUAGUCGACGAAGAAGGCUGCGUACUGUGUCGCUGCGCUCAUUCGACACGUUUUGCACUUCUAUUCGAAAAGGAUAAUAUAUGUAAUUAGAUUGUUCAUUAGAAAGGGAAGAAUUGAUGUUUAAUCAAAUGUAAAAAUAUAUAAAGAAGUUGAUAAACACAAGCUGCGUUUACACUAA